RNAcentral lists this ribosomal RNA (459 nucleotides) under uncultured bacterium. RNAcentral's name for it is "partial 16S ribosomal RNA". It matches the Rfam family "Bacterial small subunit ribosomal RNA", at positions 338 to 795 of the family's 1533-position model. The record is from RNAcentral.
CCUACGGGAGGCAGCAGUGAGGAAUAUUGGUCAAUGGACGCAGGGCUGAACCAGCCAAGUCGCGUGAGGGAUGACGGUCCUAUGGAUUGUAAACCUCUUUUGUCAGGGAGCAAAGGGCGCCACGUGUGGCGCUUUGCGAGUACCUGAAGAAAAAGCAUAGGCUAACUCCGUGCCAGCAGCCGCGGUAAUACGGAGGAUGCGAGCGUUAGCCGGAUUUAUUGGGUUUAAAGGGUGCGCAGGCGGAAUGUCAAGUCAGCGGUAAAAUUUCGGGGCUCAACCCCGUCGUGCCGUUGAAACUGGCGUUCUUGAGUGAGCGAGAAGUAUGCGGAAUGCGUGGUGUAGCGGUGAAAUGCAUAGAUAUCACGCAGAACUCCGAUUGCGAAGGCAGCAUACCGGCGCUCAACUGACGCUCAUGCACGAAAGCGUGGGUAUCGAACAGGAUUAGAUACCCGAGUAGUC